UUCAUUCCAUACACCAUAUAUGCACCAAACUAGCUAGCUAGGCCAUUUCUCAAGAUGGCCCAACCAUAUAUAGCUAGGCUCUCCUUCCAUGUCACAACCUCAAAUCUUACUCCCGCUAGUGACUUGCUCUUUUUUUAGUCAAAAUUCAUAGCCAAGCCGGUUCAUUAUGAUUACACCACAACCACGUACUACUUCGCCUUUUAUUGUCUUAACCUUGUUGUCCUCAAGCUGAACCUUAAUUCUCUCUAGAAACUAUAUCUAUAUUUGGUUGGCCUACAUAUAGCUAGGCACAAACAUUUAUUUCUUUCUGUGUCAGCUUGCUAAACCUCAACGCAGAUCAAAUAUUUGGAUUUUAAUGUAUGUCACGGUUGGUCUACUCUUUGCUUUUAUAGUCAGCAACAUUAUGCUCUAU
This 412-nucleotide long non-coding RNA is filed under the name Populus trichocarpa (black cottonwood). Its description in RNAcentral is "long non-coding RNA (PTRI_LNC001978)". The record is from RNAcentral. Lineage: Eukaryota; Viridiplantae; Streptophyta; Magnoliopsida; Malpighiales; Salicaceae.